CGGAGCGUAGCGCAGCCCGGUAGCGCACUACUCUGGGGGGGUAGGGGUCCGGGUUCGAAUCCCCGCGCUCCGACCA
This 76-nucleotide transfer RNA is filed under the name Hyphomicrobiales bacterium. Its description in RNAcentral is "Rhizobiales bacterium (stromatolite metagenome) tRNA-Pro". It matches the Rfam family "tRNA". Rfam says of the family: Transfer RNA (tRNA) molecules are approximately 80 nucleotides in length. Their secondary structure includes four short double-helical elements and three loops (D, anti-codon, and T loops). Lineage: Bacteria; Pseudomonadati; Pseudomonadota; Alphaproteobacteria; Hyphomicrobiales. The record is from RNAcentral.